Molecule: long non-coding RNA, 348 nt
Organism: Gavialis gangeticus (Gharial)
Lineage: Eukaryota; Metazoa; Chordata; Crocodylia; Gavialidae
Exons: 2
Source: RefSeq, a predicted model, not a curated record
UUUUAUUUUUCUUUUCUGUCUUUCUAGUCAUUACAUAGUUGUUAUUUUAUUUUAUUUUGGUUUAAAGUUAAGUAAAGCUAUUACAAGACUGGGACUGUACCUAGUUUAUCGAGGGGCAGUGAUUUUCCCUCCAGGAUGGCACAUCCACUAGCAAAACUGGAAUGUAACUUUUUUUUGGUGCGCAUACAAAGCUGUGCAUUUGCAGAAGGAACCUUCCCUUUGCAAUCUACAAGCAACACCUGCUUCCAUCUGAUUUCCUGGCAGCGAUGCCUUCACAACCUGGCAAAAACUCCAUUAAAAUUUUAGGCCCAUUUAUUUUGUAAUAAAAUGAAUGUAAAUAAGAUUUAA